UUAUAGAGUUUGAGAACCGGUGAUCUUGUUUUCCAUGACGAGCAGACUGACCGUGUCUCCUACGUCCCUUUGUUGGACUGUUCUUUGAGUGAUUUGUGAGUGAUGUGUUCUUGUCCACUCUUAGUCAAAUAAAUAUAAGGUUUGUCUUCGAAAUAGUUGUAGAUCCAUAGUUGCAAGAGUUAGGGGCAACCGAGUUGUUUGGUCGCAUCUUUGGGUGUCGUUCUUGUCAUCUUGUUCAAAUCGUAUAUUGAACUAUAGCACACAUAAAAGAAAUAAAACCUCGUCUCCAGAAGAAGCUCUAGAGGCAAUGGCGCCGACUGCAUACUCCGCCCCAGCGGCUGUGGGUGGGUCAACCUCCCACCCUGCUGCCGGGCCCAACUCCUCUAGUUCUUCCAAUUCGGAAAACUUCAAAAUGAAAAUUCUCACGGUCAACGGAGGAGAGGUUAUAUAUUUCAACAUAUUAAAAAAAAAUAUUGGAUGUUACUUGCACUGAACGAGGGGUUGUUUUCAUAAUAACAACCACUGGGAUCUUAUCAUGCAAGAUGGCGAACCCAAAUUUGUUAGUUGUGUAUUAUUCACAUGUUGGGUAUACUGAUAUUUCUAUUAUAAAUAGGCUUGGACCAAUCCAAACUUGGGUUAAAUAGGCCAAAUUUGUUUUGAGAGAUUAGUCUAUUGGGAUGAAGAUAUAUAUAUACAUGUAUCAAGGCCUAGGUCUUGCCUACUUCUCAGCAUUUUGUAAACCCGUAAGUCUUGCGUCUUCCUUCAUCUCUUGCCAUUCUUAAUCGGAGGUAAAAAGUAAGUCUGUGGUCCAAUUUUUUUAGAGGUUUUUUGAACUAAAUUUCUGAUCUAAACCCGAAAGUCCUGCCUUUCGUUCAUCUUUCGCCAUUCUUAAUCGGAGGUCAAAAGCAAGUCUGUGGUCCAUUUUUGUAGAGGUUUUUGAACUAAAUUUCUAAUCUAAACCCUAAAGUCCUGCGUCUUCAUUAUCUUUUGCCAUUCUUAAUCGGAGGUAAAGAACUGCGAAUAUGAAGUCCAUUUUUGUAGAGGUUUUCUGAACUAAUUUCUGAUCUCCUGAACUUAGUGUUUUUACGCAGAUACUUUACAAAGUAGGACGGUUUAAUUUUCCCAUUUUCCUUCUCAAUCUAUGGCGCGAACAAGGCAAACCCCAUACGUCUUCAGAAUGUUACCCAUGCUAAGGCUGCGGAAUGCAUCCUCCACCCAAGCCGCUGUGGGUGGGUCGACCUCCAACCCAGUCACUGUGGGUGGGUCGACCUCCAACCCUGCCCCCGCCGCUGUGGGUGGGUCGACCUCCAACGCUGCUGCCGGGCACAACUCCUCAGACUCUUCCAAUGCCGAAAACUUCAAAAUGAAGAUUCUCUCAGUCAAUGAAGGAGAGGAUCUAUUAGCAAAAAUUGUAGAUGCUACUACAACCGAACCAGGGAUUGUUUUCGUAAUAACAACCACUGGGACAUUAUCCCGCGCCACAAUCUGACUACCUGCAGAAUACGACGAACCCAGCAUAUACGAGGGUCCGUUUCAAAUUCUUUCAAUGGUCGGUUCCUUUGUUCCAUCAAGAGGUGGACUUGAAAGUGGCAAUGAUGGAAGGCUGAGUACAGCCUUAUUUCGGCCAGAUGGAACUUCAUUUGGCGGUAUCGUAGCAGGACCUAUUAUCGCUGCAUCUUAUGUAGAGAUUGUUCUUGGUUGCUUGCCCCAUGACGAGGGUGAAUCGUGAGAGAAGUAAAGGAAACCACAUGCAGAGUUCGAUUCUGCAUAAAUAAAACUGUAUACGGUGCUUGUAAACCGAAUAUGUUAUCUUGAUAUUAAUUCUAUAGAAGAUGUUGUUGGUUGUGUGUUAUGCACAUGUUGUAGGAUGUUAUUUUGUAUUUUGUGGUGAUCAUCAGAAACAUAUAUUAUUUAAAUUUUAGUUUUAGUUUAGAGCAUUAUAAUCAUGAUUUUCAUGGCACCUUGGCAUCCUGGCAGUGCACCGGCAGCACCAGGCUGCUCGCCUC
Molecule: RNA transcript, 2006 nt
Organism: Andrographis paniculata
Lineage: Eukaryota; Viridiplantae; Streptophyta; Magnoliopsida; Lamiales; Acanthaceae
Exons: 8
Source: RefSeq, a predicted model, not a curated record